UAAUGGUAGUUCUGGUGAUCCCACAUUUCUCCAGCUUACUUAUCAGAAUGUCAUGUAUAUUAUGUUCACUGCUUUCCUCCUAUCAACCAAACCAGUUACCUUGUCGAAGAAAAUUUAAGCUGAUUUGUUCUUGGUAAAUCAAGUACUGAGAGUCCAUGAUUCCCUUCUGGAGGCCAAAUCCAAACAAUAAUGCUUUGUAAAUGUAUGGAGAAAGGAUCCUGUCACACCUUUGCAGAUAUCUGAAAGAAAAAUACCUCUGAGAUAGGCAAUAACAGCAGCCUUGAUGUGGCUUUCCAGCUUCAGGCCAGCCAGGUCAUAUUAAAAAAAAGGAGAUCCACUUGGAUCCUCGUGAUAACAGCAAUACCCAGAAAACUGUUAACAAAAGGAAAAAAGCUGGGAGCACUUUCCAAGCCUUUCGCUGCAC
This is a long non-coding RNA of Dermochelys coriacea (leatherback sea turtle), 424 nucleotides long. RefSeq lists it as uncharacterized. The record is from RefSeq and is a predicted model, not a curated record. NCBI's taxonomy places the organism in Eukaryota, Metazoa, Chordata, Testudines, Dermochelyidae. The transcript is spliced from 2 exons.